CCUACGGGUGGCAGCAGUGGGGAAUAUUGGGCAAUGGGCGAAAGCCUGAACCAGCAACGCCGCGUGAAUGAUUAAGGCCUUCGGGGUGUAAAGCUCUGUCAGUAGGGACGAAAAUUGAUGGACCUGAGAGAGGAUGCACGGGCUAACUCCGUGCCAGCAGCCGCGGUAAUAGGGAGGGUGCAAGCGUAUUCCGGAGUCAUUGGGUGUAAAGGGUGCGUAGGGGGCGUAUUAAGUCGGAUGUGAAAUGCAGAAGCUCAACUGCAGAACUGCACUGGAAACUGGUAAGCUUGAGUGCGGUAGAGGUAAAGGGAAUUCCUGGUGUAGCGGUGAAAUGCGUAGAUAUCAGGAGGAACAUCGGUGGCGAAGGCGGUUUACUGGACCGUAAUUGACACUGAGGAUCGAAAGCGGGGGUAGCAAACAGGAUUAGAUACCCGGGUAGUC
Molecule: ribosomal RNA, 441 nt
Filed under: uncultured bacterium
Lineage: Bacteria
Description: partial 16S ribosomal RNA
Rfam family: Bacterial small subunit ribosomal RNA
Source: RNAcentral